Molecule: ribosomal RNA, 111 nt
Filed under: human gut metagenome
Source: RNAcentral
UGGUGACGAUAGCGAAGGGGUCACACCUAUUCCCAUCCCGAACACAGAAGUUAAGCCCUUCAGCGCCGACAAUACUUGCUGGUCUUUUGCUGGGAAGAUAGGUCAUUGCCA